RNAcentral lists this ribosomal RNA (301 nucleotides) under uncultured bacterium. RNAcentral describes it as "partial 16S ribosomal RNA". It matches the Rfam family "Bacterial small subunit ribosomal RNA", at positions 509 to 807 of the family's 1533-position model. The record is from RNAcentral.
CAGUCGCCACGGGAAUACAGAGGGUGCGAGCGUUAAUCGGAUUUACUGGGCGUAAAGCGUGCGUAGGCGGCUUUUUAAGUCGGAUGUGAAAUCCCUGAGCUUAACUUAGGAAUUGCAUUCGAUACCGGGAAGCUAGAGUAUGGGAGAGGAUGGUAGAAUUCCAGGUGUAGCGGUGAAAUGCGUAGAGAUCUGGAGGAAUACCGAUGGCGAAGGCAGCCAUCUGGCCUAAUACUGACGCUGAGGUACGAAAGCAUGGGGAGCAAACAGGAUUAGAUACCCCGGUAGUCCCUGUCUCUUAUAC